RNAcentral lists this ribosomal RNA (252 nucleotides) under uncultured bacterium. RNAcentral describes it as "partial 16S ribosomal RNA". It matches the Rfam family "Bacterial small subunit ribosomal RNA", at positions 524 to 776 of the family's 1533-position model. The record is from RNAcentral.
UACGUAGGGAGCAAGCGUUGUCCGGAAUCAUUGGGCGUAAAGCGCGCGUAGGCGGCCCCGUAAGUCCGCUGUGAAAGUCAAAGGCUCAACCUUUGAAAGCCGGUGGAUACUGUGGGGCUAGAGUCCGGAAGAGGCGAGUGGAAUUACUGGUGUAGCGGUGGAAUGCGCAGAUAUCAGGAGGAACACCAAUAGCGAAGGCAGCUCGCUGGGACGGUACUGACGCUAAGGCGCGAAAGCGUGGGAGCGAACAGG